RNAcentral lists this unclassified non-coding RNA (363 nucleotides) under soil metagenome. Its description in RNAcentral is "partial contains 5.8S ribosomal RNA, internal transcribed spacer 2, and large subunit ribosomal RNA". The stretch from base 1 to 121 matches the Rfam family "5.8S ribosomal RNA", at positions 35 to 154 of the family's 154-position model. The record is from RNAcentral.
GAUGAAGAACGUAGCGAAAUGCGAUAAGUAAUGCGAAUUGCAGAAUUUCCGUGAGUCAUCGAAUCUUUGAACGCACAUUGCGCCCGCCAGCAUUCUGGCGGGCAUGCCUGUCCGAGCGUCAUUUCAACCCUCAGGGUCCCUCCGCCUCGCGCGGUCGGAGCCUGGUGUUGGGGAUCGGCCCGCCCCGCGCGGCGCCGUCCCCCAAAUACAGUGGCGGUCCCGCCGCAGCCUCCCCUGCGCAGUAGUUAUCAACUCGCACUGGAGCGCGGCGCGGCCACGCCGUAAAACCCCCGACUUUUAGAAAGUUGACCUCGGAUCAGGUAGGAAUACCCGCUGAACUUAAGCAUAUCAAUAAGCGGAGGA